This 497-nucleotide ribosomal RNA is filed under the name uncultured bacterium. RNAcentral's name for it is "partial 16S ribosomal RNA". It matches the Rfam family "Bacterial small subunit ribosomal RNA", at positions 28 to 507 of the family's 1533-position model. The record is from RNAcentral.
GAUGAACGCUGGCGGCGUGCCUAAUACAUGCAAGUCGAGCGAACAGACGAGGAGCUUGCUCCUCUGACGUUAGCGGCGGACGGGUGAGUAACACGUGGAUAACCUACCUAUAAGACUGGGAUAACUUCGGGAAACCGGAGCUAAUACCGGAUAAUAUAUUGAACCGCAUGGUUCAAUAGUGAAAGACGGUUUUGCUGUCACUUAUAGAUGGAUCCGCGCCGCAUUAGCUAGUUGGUAAGGUAACGGCUUACCAAGGCAACGAUGCGUAGCCGACCUGAGAGGGUGAUCGGCCACACUGGAACUGGGGCACGGUCCAGACUCCUACGGGAGGGAGCAGUAGGGAAUCUUCCGCAAUGGGCGAAAGCCUGGCGGAGCAACGCCGCGUGAGUGAUGAAGGUCUUCGGAUCGGAAAACUCUGUUAUUAGGGAAGAACAAAUGUGUAAGUAACUAUGCACGUCUUGACGGUACCUAAUCAGAAAGCCACGGCUAACUACGUG